GAUGAACGCUGGCGGCGUGCCUAAUACAUGCAAGUCGAGCGAACAGACGAGGAGCUUGCUCCUCUGACGUUAGCGGCGGACGGGUGAGUAACACGUGGAUAACCUACCUAUAAGACUGGGAUAACUUCGGGAAACCGGAGCUAAUACCGGAUAAUAUAUUGAACCGCAUGGUUCAAUAGUGAAAGACGGUUUUGCUGUCACUUAUAGAUGGAUCCGCGCCGCAUUAGCUAGUUGGUAAGGUAACGGCUUACCAAGGCAACGAUGCGUAGCCGACCUGAGAGGGUGAUCGGCCACACUGGAACUGAGACACGGUCCAGACUCCUACGGGAGGCAGCAGUAGGGAAUCUUCCGCAAAGGGCGAAAGCCUGACGGAGCAACGCCGCGUGAGUGAUAAAGGUCUUCGGAUCGUAAAACUCUGUUAUUAGGGAAGAACAAAUGUGUAAGUAACUAUGCACGUCUUGACGGUACCUAAUCAGAAAGCCACGGCUAACUACGUG
Molecule: ribosomal RNA, 497 nt
Filed under: uncultured bacterium
Lineage: Bacteria
Description: partial 16S ribosomal RNA
Rfam family: Bacterial small subunit ribosomal RNA
Source: RNAcentral